UACGAAGGGGGCUAGCGUUGCUCGGAAUCACUGGGCGUAAAGGGUGCGUAGGCGGGUUUUUAAGUCAGAGGUGAAAUCCUGGAGCUCAACUCCAGAACUGCCUUUGAUACUGAAAGUCUUGAGUAUGGGAGAGGUGAGUGGAACUGCGAGUGUAGAGGUGAAAUUCGUAGAUAUUCGCAAGAACACCAGUGGCGAAGGCGGCUCACUGGCCCGGUACUGACGCUGAGGAGCGAAAGCGUGGGGAGCGAACAGG
RNAcentral lists this ribosomal RNA (253 nucleotides) under uncultured bacterium. RNAcentral's name for it is "partial 16S ribosomal RNA". It matches the Rfam family "Bacterial small subunit ribosomal RNA", at positions 524 to 776 of the family's 1533-position model. The record is from RNAcentral.